Molecule: long non-coding RNA, 1285 nt
Organism: Oncorhynchus keta (chum salmon)
Lineage: Eukaryota; Metazoa; Chordata; Actinopteri; Salmoniformes; Salmonidae
Exons: 6
Source: RefSeq, a predicted model, not a curated record
CGAACGAACACGCGCACGCACACACACACACACACACACACACACACACACACACACACACACACACACACACACACACACACACACACACACACACACACACACACACACACACAGAAUGUCAGAUAGGAUGAAGUCCUGAUUGUUAGUUAUAGUCAGUAUCUAAGUUUAGAAGAGAAGAAGAGUUCAUUCAGUCUGGUACUCAGGGGGAGGGGCCCUGAAGAGGUCAUUCAGUCAGGCUCUCAGGGGGAGGGGCCCUGAAGAGGUCAUUCAGUCAGGCUCUCAGGGGGAGGGGCCCUGAAGAGGUCAUUCAGUCAGGCUCUCAGGGGGAGGGGCCCUGAAGAGGUCAUCCAGUCAGGCUCUCAGGGGGAGGGGCCCUGAAGAGGUCAUUCAGUCAGGCUCUCAGGGGGAGGGGCCCUGAAGAGGUCAUUCAGUCAGGCUCUCAGGGGGAGGGGCCCUGAAGAGGUCAUUCAGUCAGGCUCUCAGGGGGAGGGGCCCUGAAGAGGUCAUUCAGUCAGGCUCUCAGGGGGAGGGGCCCUGAAGAGGUCAUUCCGUCUGGCUCUCAGGGGGAGGGGCCCUGAAGAGGUCAUUCCGUCUGGCUCUCAGGGGGAGGGGCCCUGAAGAGGUCAUUCCGUCUGGCUCUCAGGGGGAGGGGCCCUGAAGAGGUCAUUCUGUCUGGCUCUCAGGGGGAGGGGCCCUGAAGAGGUCAUUCCGUCUGGCUCUCAGGGGGAGGGGCCCUGAAGAGGUCAUUCAGUCUGGCUCUCAGGGGGAGGGGCCCUGAAGAGGUCAUUCAGUCUGGCUCUCAGGGGGAGGGGCCCUGAAGAGGUCAUUCAGUCUGGCUCUCAGGGGGAGGGGCCCUGAAGAGGUCAUUCAGUCUGGCUCUCAGGGGGAGGGGCCCUGAAGAGGUCAUUCAGUCUGGCUCUCAGGGGGAGGGGCCCUGAAGAGGUCAUUCAGUCUGGCUCUCAGGGGGAGGGGCCCUGAAGAGGUCAUUCAGUCUGGCUCUCAGGGGGAGGGGCCCUGAAGAGGUCAUUCAGUCUGGCUCUCAGGGGGAGGGGCCCUGAAGAGGUCAUUCAGUCUGGCUCUCAGGGGGAGGGGCCCUGAAGAGGUCAUUCAGUCAGGCUCUCAGGGGGAGGGGCCCUGAAGAGGUCAUUCAGUCAGGCUCUCAGGGGGAGGGGCCCUGAAGAGGUCAUUCAGUCAGGCUCUCAGGGGGAGGGGCCCUGAAGAGGUCAUUCAGUCAGGCUCUCAGGGGGAGGGGCCCUGAAGAGGUCAUUCAGUCAGGCUCUCA